RNAcentral lists this ribosomal RNA (253 nucleotides) under uncultured bacterium. Its description in RNAcentral is "partial 16S ribosomal RNA". It matches the Rfam family "Bacterial small subunit ribosomal RNA", at positions 524 to 776 of the family's 1533-position model. The record is from RNAcentral.
UACAGAGGUCUCAAGCGUUGUUCGGAUUCAUUGGGCGUAAAGGGUGUGUAGGUGGCGCCGUAAGUCGGGUGUGAAAUCUUGGAGCUUAACUCCGAAACUGCAUUCGAUACUGCCGUGCUUGAGGACUGGAGAGGAGACUGGAAUUUACGGUGCAGCGGUGAAAUGCGUAGAUAUCGUAAGGAAGACCAGUGGCGAAGGCGGGUCUCUGGACAGUUCCUGACGCUGAGGCACGAAGGCCAGGGGAGCAAACGGG